AGUCACUGACUAUUAGACCUACCCGGUACGUCCCAGACCGUAAACUAUGCGCGUUAGGUGUACUGGUGACCACGAGUCGACCGGGUGCCGAAGGGAACCGUGAAACGUGCCGCCUGGGAAGUACGGUCGCAAGGCUGAAACUUAAAGGAAUUGGCGGGGAGCACCACAACGGGUGGAGCCUGCGGUUUAAUUGGACUCAACGCCGAAAAUCUCACCGGAUAGGACAGACAUAUGAUAGUCGGGCUGAAGACUCUACUUGAUGAUCUG
Molecule: ribosomal RNA, 267 nt
Filed under: uncultured archaeon
Lineage: Archaea
Description: partial 16S ribosomal RNA
Rfam family: Archaeal small subunit ribosomal RNA
Source: RNAcentral